CUGCUGCCUCCCGUAGGAGUUUGGGCCGUGUCUCAGUCCCAAUGUGGCCGUCCACCCUCUCAGGCCGGCUACUGAUCGUCGCUUUGGUAGGCCGUUACCCUGCCAACUGGCUAAUCAGACGCGGGUCCAUCGUAUACCACCGGAGUUUUUCACACUGCGCCAUGCGGCGCUGUGCGCUUAUGCGGUUUUAGCACCUAUUUCUAAGUGUUAUCCCCCUGUAUACGGCAGGUUACCCACGCGUUACUCACCCGUCCGCCA
Molecule: ribosomal RNA, 258 nt
Filed under: uncultured bacterium
Lineage: Bacteria
Description: partial 16S ribosomal RNA
Source: RNAcentral